Molecule: long non-coding RNA, 156 nt
Organism: Mauremys reevesii (Reeves's turtle)
Lineage: Eukaryota; Metazoa; Chordata; Testudines; Geoemydidae
Exons: 3
Source: RefSeq, a predicted model, not a curated record
GGAGUGUGUCUGCUGGUGAGUGGUCUGCUAAGAUUUGGACUAAUAACCCUUGAGAUCAUCCAGAGCCUCCUCCCCUGGGUGAAUUCCCCAAUGGAAAACUUCCGAAUCACCGGCACAGCUUUCCUUGCCCAGCUAAUGACUGAUCCCAUGCUCAGG